RNAcentral lists this ribosomal RNA (1381 nucleotides) under uncultured bacterium. Its description in RNAcentral is "bacterial SSU rRNA". It matches the Rfam family "Bacterial small subunit ribosomal RNA", at positions 28 to 1381 of the family's 1533-position model. The record is from RNAcentral.
GACGAACGCUGGCGGCGUGCCUAAUACAUGCAAGUCGAACGCUUCUUUCCUCCCGAGUGCUUGCACUCAAUUGGAAAGAGGAGUGGCGGACGGGUGAGUAACACGUGGGUAACCUACCCAUCAGAGGGGGAUAACACUUGGAAACAGGUGCUAAUACCGCAUAACAGUUUAUGCCGCAUGGCAUAAGAGUGAAAGGCGCUUUCGGGUGUCGCUGAUGGAUGGACCCGCGGUGCAUUAGCUAGUUGGUGAGGUAACGGCUCACCAAGGCCACGAUGCAUAGCCGACCUGAGAGGGUGAUCGGCCACACUGGGACUGAGACACGGCCCAGACUCCUACGGGAGGCAGCAGUAGGGAAUCUUCGGCAAUGGACGAAAGUCUGACCGAGCAACGCCGCGUGAGUGAAGAAGGUUUUCGGAUCGUAAAACUCUGUUGUUAGAGAAGAACAAGGACGUUAGUAACUGAACGUCCCCUGACGGUAUCUAACCAGAAAGCCACGGCUAACUACGUGCCAGCAGCCGCGGUAAUACGUAGGUGGCAAGCGUUGUCCGGAUUUAUUGGGCGUAAAGCGAGCGCAGGCGGUUUCUUAAGUCUGAUGUGAAAGCCCCCGGCUCAACCGGGGAGGGUCAUUGGAAACUGGGAGACUUGAGUGCAGAAGAGGAGAGUGGAAUUCCAUGUGUAGCGGUGAAAUGCGUAGAUAUAUGGAGGAACACCAGUGGCGAAGGCGGCUCUCUGGUCUGUAACUGACGCUGAGGCUCGAAAGCGUGGGGAGCAAACAGGAUUAGAUACCCUGGUAGUCCACGCCGUAAACGAUGAGUGCUAAGUGUUGGAGGGUUUCCGCCCUUCAGUGCUGCAGCAAACGCAUUAAGCACUCCGCCUGGGGAGUACGACCGCAAGGUUGAAACUCAAAGGAAUUGACGGGGGCCCGCACAAGCGGUGGAGCAUGUGGUUUAAUUGGAAGCAACGCGAAGAACCUUACCAGGUCUUGACAUCCUUUGGCCACUCUAGAGAUAGAGCUUUCCCUUCGGGGACAAAGUGACAGGUGGUGCAUGGUUGUCGUCAGCUCGUGUCGUGAGAUGUUGGGUUAAGUCCCGCAACGAGCGCAACCCUUAUUGUUAGUUGCCAUCAUUUAGUUGGGCACUCUAGCGAGACUGCCGGUGACAAACCGGAGGAAGGUGGGGAUGACGUCAAAUCAUCAUGCCCCUUAUGACCUGGGCUACACACGUGCUACAAUGGGAAAUACAACGAGUCGCUAGACCGCGAGGUCAUGCAAAUCUCUUAAAGCUUCUCUCAGUUCGGAUUGCAGGCUGCAACUCGCCUGCAUGAAGCCGGAAUCGCUAGUAAUCGCGGAUCAGCACGCCGCGGUGAAUACGUUCCCGGGCCU